RNAcentral lists this ribosomal RNA (441 nucleotides) under uncultured bacterium. RNAcentral's name for it is "partial 16S ribosomal RNA". It matches the Rfam family "Bacterial small subunit ribosomal RNA", at positions 338 to 795 of the family's 1533-position model. The record is from RNAcentral.
CCUACGGGAGGCAGCAGUGGGGAAUAUUGGGCAAUGGACGCAAGUCUGACCCAGCAACGCCGCGUGAAGGAAGAAGGCUUUCGGGUUGUAAACUUCUUUUAAGGGGGAAGAGCAGAAGACGGUACCCCUUGAAUAAGCCACGGCUAACUACGUGCCAGCAGCCGCGGUAAUACGUAGGUGGCAAGCGUUGUCCGGAUUUACUGGGUGUAAAGGGCGUGCAGCCGGAGAGACAAGUCAGAUGUGAAAUCCACGGGCUCAACCUCUUCGAGCCGUUGAAACUGGUUUUCUUGAGUGAGUGAGAGGUAUGCGGAAUGCGUGGUGUAGCGGUGAAAUGCAUAGAUAUCACGCAGAACUCCGAUUGCGAAGGCAGCAUACCGGCGCUCAACUGACGCUCAUGCACGAAAGUGUGGGUAUCGAACAGGAUUAGAUACCCUAGUAGUC